UAGAAACCCUUGAAACUAAAAAGUGUCAGGAUUAAUAGGGCUGACAUGAGAUUCAGCACUAAAUAAAUGGCCAAGUUCCCAUGAAAACAACCACUGUGUCCUGUGUUAAUUCUGUUUUUAGUUAACUUUGUCUUCCUGCCUAAAAACAUGUAGGUUUUGUAUCAUUCUUAAGUUGCUGUAACAUUGAGAUGUGAAAUUUGGAGGAUUCGAAAUAAAUGCAGCUAAAUGGAACUUUUGGAUGAAGAAUCCCUGGUUUGUUCAGAUCUGUUAAAGUAAUAGGGGAAAGCACAAAAGGAUCAAGAAAAGGAAGGCCCCAAUCUUUGUUCGAUGACUGAUAAAACAGCAUUACUUGGGUGAAAAUUGGCCUGACCUUCACCUACAGGAUGCUUCCGCUGCCUCAGUGAUUCUUGCUUCGCUCUGAUUAGACUCUCCUCUAAAGCUCUGCUGGGAGAGGACGGCCGGAGAAAGACACAAGUCUCCCUCAGCUGGCUGGAACAGUGAGGCUAUAAUGACAAAGCAGCCAUCUGCACACCAGGAAGGGGCACUCACCAGACAUCAGAGCUGCCGGCACCUUCACCUUGGACAUCCCAGCCUCCAGAACUGUAAAAAAUAAAUGUUUGUUGUUUAAGCCACCCAGUCUAUUUUAAUUUGUUAUAGCAGCCUAGUAUGGUUUGGCUGUGUCCCCACCUGAAUCUCACCUUGAAUUGUAAUAAUUCCCAUGUGUCAUGGGAGGGACACUGUGGGAGGUAAUUGAAUCAUGGGAUGGGUUUUCCCAUGGUGUUCUCAUGAUAGUGAAUAAGUCUCAUGAGAUCUGAUGGUUCCCCUGCACACAUUCUCUUGCCUGCCACCAUGUAAAAUGUGUCUUUGCUCCUUCUUCACCUUCCGCCACGAUUGUGAGACCUCCCCGCCAUGUGGAACUGUGAGUCCAUUAAACCUCUUUUUCUUUAUAA
This 950-nucleotide long non-coding RNA is filed under the name Homo sapiens (human). Its description in RNAcentral is "HSALNT0061858". Lineage: Eukaryota; Metazoa; Chordata; Mammalia; Primates; Hominidae. The record is from RNAcentral.